Molecule: long non-coding RNA, 579 nt
Filed under: Monodelphis domestica (gray short-tailed opossum)
Lineage: Eukaryota; Metazoa; Chordata; Mammalia; Didelphimorphia; Didelphidae
Description: lncRNA (ENSMODG00000039151.1)
Source: RNAcentral
CAGCUGCUUUGUGCUCUAACUCCACUCCAGUGUCCUAGAUAUUUUGUUCUACCCUUCAAAGAUUUUUUGGACUGAAAAACUACUUUAUCCUUUCUUUUCGUGGAUUAUGAUGCUGCAAAAUGUGUUUUGAGAAUGGACUUCAUGGUUAAUAUAACUAGCUAUUCAGAGAGAGGACACCAAGAAAAUGGAUAACUGUGGAUUCUGCUUGGAAGUAUGGAUGAAUGAAGCACCAAAAUCUGAGAAGAGAGAGAAGAAAUGGAUGCUUGAACAGUGGGAUUCAAUGGUCUUGAGAGUUGAAGAAGUGUACUUAAAACAAUAAGUACUUUUAAAAAAAGUAUUUAUUCAUUAACAAUUACAUUUUAUAACACAUAUCCAUGCAAGUUUUCCUAAAAUAUAUCAUCAAACUUAUCUCCCUUCCUCCCUUUUCCUUUCCCCUCCUGUUAUUGGCAGGCAAUGCAAUCUAUAUCUAAAACACAUAUAUUAUCAUGCAUAUCAUUUUCAUAUUGUUCAGUUUUAUGAUUAAUCUUAUAAAACCAAAACCCCAUAACAUAAACCCAAAUAAACAAUUUAAAAAUUACA